CGUGCUGGUGCUGUCUGCGGACUUCAAAUCCGUUGUGGGGUGCGAGAAGCGCUCCGGGCAGGUUCGAUUCCUGUGCGCUUCC
RNAcentral lists this transfer RNA (82 nucleotides) under marine eukaryotic metagenome. RNAcentral's name for it is "Selenocysteine transfer RNA". It matches the Rfam family "Selenocysteine transfer RNA", at positions 13 to 91 of the family's 91-position model. The record is from RNAcentral.